UUGAUCCUGGCUCACGAUGAACGCUAGCGGCAGGCUUAACACAUGCAAGUCGAGGGGCAGCGCGGAGUAUCAAUACUCUGGCGGAGACCGACGGAAGGGUGCGUAACACGUGAGCGACUUGCCCGUCACAGGGAGAUAACCGCUGGAAACGGAGACUAAUAUCCCAUAUGAUGGCGAUCUGCAUGGAUUGUCAUUGAAAGAUUCAUCGGUGACGGAUAGGCUCGCGGGGCAUCAGCUAAACGGCGGGGCAACGGCCCACCGCGGCGACGAUACCUACGGGUUCUGAGAUGAAAACCCCCCGCACUGGGACUGAGACACGGCCCAUACUCCUACCGGAGGCAGGAGUGAGGAAUAUAGAUCAGUGGGCGGAAGCCUGAACCAACCAUGCCGCGUGAAGGACUAAGGACCUAUGGGUCGUAAACUUCUUGAUACGCAGAGCAAUAAGGGUCUCGUGAGAUCCGAUGAUAGUAUGCGUAAAAUAAGCAUCGGCUAACUCCGUGCCAGCAGCCGCGGUAAUACGGUGGAUGCGAGCGUCAUCCGUAUUUAUUGGGUGUAAAGGGUGCGUAGCGCAGAACUGCAACUCAGCGGUGAAAUCCCCGCGCUCAACGCGGGAGUUGCCGUUGAUACUGAACAUCUGGAAUGCUCUUGCCGUGCGAAGAAUGAGUACUGUAGCGGUGAAAUGCAUAGAUAUUACUCAGAACACCGAUUGCGAAGCCAUCUCACGAAGGGCCGAUUGACGUUGAGGCACGAAAGCGUGGUUAUCGACCAGAAUAAGAUACCGUGUUAGUCCACGCAGUAAACGAUGAUGCCUAACUGUCGUGUUUUAGGAUUCGGCGCCCAAGCGAAAGCGAUAAGCCACCCAUCUGGGGAGUACGACCGCAAGGUUGAAACUCAAAGGAAUUGACGGGGCCCCGCACAAGCGGAGACACAUGUGGUUAAAUUAGAUGAUACGCGAGGCACAUUACGCAGGUUCGAACGGCAUCUGAAUCAUCCAGAGAUGGAUGACUCUUCGGACAGAUGUGGAGGUGCUGCAUGGUUGUCGUCAGCUCGUGCCGUGAGGUGUCGGCUUAAGUGCCAUAACGAGCGCGACCCUUGCCGUUAGUUACCAUCAAGUGAAGUUGGGCACUCUAGCGAGACUGCCACCGCAAGGUGUGAGGAAGGGGGGGAUGACGUCAAAUCAGCACGGCCCUUACGUCUGGGGCGACACACGUGUUACAAUGGCGGUUACAGGGGGGAGCCACCCCGCGAGGGGGCGCUGAACUCAAAAGCCCGUCUCAGUUCGGACUGGAGUCUGCAACCCGACUCCACGAAGCUGGAUUCGCUAGUAAUCGCGCAUCAGCCAUGGCGCGGUGAAUACGUUCNCCGGGCCUUGUACACACCGCCCGUC
RNAcentral lists this ribosomal RNA (1387 nucleotides) under uncultured bacterium. RNAcentral's name for it is "16S ribosomal RNA". It matches the Rfam family "Bacterial small subunit ribosomal RNA". The record is from RNAcentral.